This 72-nucleotide transfer RNA is filed under the name Ovis aries (sheep). It matches the Rfam family "tRNA". From Rfam's summary of the family: Transfer RNA (tRNA) molecules are approximately 80 nucleotides in length. The record is from Rfam by way of RNAcentral. Lineage: Eukaryota; Metazoa; Chordata; Mammalia; Artiodactyla; Bovidae.
UCCCUCAUAGCUCAGUCAGUAAAGGGUCUGCCUGCAAUGCAGGAGACCCAGGUUCAAUCCCUGGGUUGGGAA